AAAAGUGUAAAUUUAAAAAAAGAUCAACAUGACAAGAUCUUUGCAUCCUGAAAAUUAGAGACCCUGAACUAUCCUCUUUUUCAGUUUUUUUUUUUGGCUGUUAUUGUGGAAAAAACUAGUAAUGUUUAGGUUAAAAGUGUAAAUUUCAAUAAUGAUCAGCAUGACAAUAUCUGUCCUCCCUGAAAAUAAGAGAAAAAUACAAAUACCUAUUUUGAAGUUGUUGCCCCUGAAAUGUUUAUUUUAAAACUUCUUUCUUUUGCAGUUUUCGCUUUUUCGCAAAAACUGUUAUACCAAGGUUAAAUUGUAAAAUGCAAAUAUGAUCAGCCUCAUAAAGAAAACGAGUAUAUGUAUAUAAAGGUCCUCAUUAGUAGGGUGGCUUUUUUUCACCAAGUGAUGGAUUCAAAAACAAUAAUGUGUAACAUGUGGGGUUAGUUUGUUUUUUCGUAUGCAGUCUGCACCCUUAGACUAGUUAAAUUUUAUUUCGGAAAAACUUGAAAAACUAUGUUUAAACACAUAAAAAAAAUGUCUUGCCUUAUGUAUAUUAUUUUAAAAUAUGAAAAAUAUGAAUAAAUAUGAUGAAACCCCAC
This 587-nucleotide long non-coding RNA is filed under the name Mytilus galloprovincialis (Mediterranean mussel). Lineage: Eukaryota; Metazoa; Mollusca; Bivalvia; Mytilida; Mytilidae. The record is from RNAcentral.